CAGUGUUCAUUCACUGUAAAAAUGGAGCAAGGAGAUGUGUGUUAUGACAGAGAUACUAGAUCAGAGAAUCCAAUAUAAAGACUACUUGUUAUGUUUAUGAUUUCAAAAUUAAUGGAGCAUAAAAGAAUAAGUUUAAAUGCAAGUGAAGUGGACACAGGAAUGAGAAGACUAUUUUUUUGAGUCCUCAAGGAAGUUUUAUUUACGGAGUAUUCCACAUCAUAACAUCAUGACAUCAUGUAGUGCGCUGGGAGUUAAAGAGUUAAUGCUCCAGUUCUGGGCACCUGUCUGGAAGAGAAGAACUACAUACACCAGGGGGCUUUGCGCUCAGAGAGGAGACAUAACCCCUGGCAAGGUGAUCUGAGAACACCCAAGAAGAUUUUUUGGUGUGUAGACUGAGAAACAAUCUGUAAUGUAGAAAGAACUUUUACUUGACAUAAAUCUCAGAAUAGCUUCUUAACUGUGGAGAAAUGUACUUUUCCUACUACGGUUAAGCUGACUUUUUAUUCCAUUAAUAGGUGUUUAUAUCUUACUGAACUUGAAUACUGAUGGUGAUUAAGACUUCUUUCAAAUUCUCACAGUGUCCUAAAUGUAUGUAAUGUCAAAUAGGAAAUAGCUUGAAGCCUACAUAUGUACUCUUUUACCUGUAAAAUGUAACUGAAUUAUUCCUUUUGAGGUGAAUUUAUUGGUAAAUACAUGUCUUACUAUGAAAACAACAAUAAAACUUGUUGUUGUUUUUAAAAAGCAGUCGUCUGCUUAAAGGCUUUUAAAAAGUCUAUAUGUUUGGCUUAAUUACAUCUUCAAAAUGACUGAAAUAAUCCUUCCAAGCAUCACUUCCUAUUAUCCAGGAUUAUGAAUAAGCCUUUAUUCAAAUUUACAGU
This 878-nucleotide long non-coding RNA is filed under the name Gallus gallus (chicken). RNAcentral describes it as "lncRNA (ENSGALG00010006268.1)". The record is from RNAcentral. Lineage: Eukaryota; Metazoa; Chordata; Aves; Galliformes; Phasianidae.